CGUAGAAGUUCUUCCCGCGUCGCGUCUCCCGGAUCCGAUCCCGAGGACGCUCGAGUCUUGGACAACGGACCGGGCGCCCGGGAAAGGAACGAUCGGGAUUUUCCUCCUUCAGCAGCGACUUUGGCGAUCGAUUAACCCCAAAGCCGAGGCGGGUCCUCCGUUCACCGAGGCAAGGUAAGAUAAGACGAGGCAAGGCUGGCGAAGCUGGCCGAGGAAGGGCCCCAGGGGUGGGGAUGUUGCGCAACGAUAUGCCGCCACCUGCACUCGUUUCGCCACUAACCGGCGACGGUGGUAGCUCGUGUUACUUUCUCCGAUUAAACUUGUAGUUGUUUCGAGUUAAUAUGAAAUCUAGGGACUAUUGGCAAUUACCGGGAACGCCGGCCGGCGCGGCCCGUGACCGCCUCCGGGUCGCUUCCACCGGGGAUGCGAUUUUUCCGCCUCGGAUCUAUCUGACAGGGAUGCCGCGCGCGGGACCCCGAAAUCCUUUCUCGACGUCCCUUGGGAUGAAUCGCUCGAUCGGCGGGGUUCUACCCGAUUUCCUCCUUUCGAGCUGAAAAUAAACCCUCGAGAAGACGCUUCGUUUGGCCUCGCGGAUCGCGCAUCGACAUCUAAGGGAGUCAUCGCCAAGGAAGCGAGGAGGUGCCGAGGAAUGCUAUACCGCACGAGAAGGAACUACUGGUCAACAUUGACUGUCCAAUUUGCAUAAUAAUCAACUAUAUUCGAGAAGUUGCCCGACUUAGCGAGUCCAGUAAAGAUCUUAUUUAAAUGACAUCGAGGGAAUUACUCUGCAACGAGGGUUCUGCCAAAUGCGAAACAAAUCCUACUUCUAGAUUUUUUUCUUCUUUAUCGUUUAAUCGCUAUUUAUAGUGACGAUGAAAAAUACCGAUACCGAAUUUCAAACCUCACAGGUGAAUUCGAUUUGUGUGAUGAAACUAUUUGCCAGUUGAGAAAUAUUCAUUCCUUCGUUCCCGAUACCCCGGGCCUCGAGGUUUUACAACCAAAUGCAACGUAUCUCAUAUUGACCUACGAACGCGAUUCCAGUGGGCAG
Molecule: unclassified non-coding RNA, 1048 nt
Filed under: Orussus abietinus
Lineage: Eukaryota; Metazoa; Arthropoda; Insecta; Hymenoptera; Orussidae
Description: uncharacterized protein CXorf65 homolog, transcript variant X2
Source: RNAcentral